This 468-nucleotide ribosomal RNA is filed under the name uncultured bacterium. Its description in RNAcentral is "partial 16S ribosomal RNA". It matches the Rfam family "Bacterial small subunit ribosomal RNA", at positions 28 to 507 of the family's 1533-position model. The record is from RNAcentral.
GACGAACGCUGGCGGCGUGCUUAACACAUGCAAGUCGAACGGAAAAGCCCUGCUUUUGUGGGGUGCUCGAGUGGCGAACGGGUGAGUAACACGUGAGUAACCUGCCCUUGACUUUGGGAUAACUUCAGGAAACUGGGGCUAAUACCGGAUAGGAGCUCCUGCUGCAUGGUGGGGGUUGGAAAGUUUCGGCGGUUGGGGAUGGACUCGCGGCUUAUCAGCUUGUUGGUGGGGUAGUGGCUUACCAAGGCUUUGACGGGUAGCCGGCCUGAGAGGGUGACCGGCCACAUUGGGACUGAGAUACGGCCCAGACUCCUACGGGAGGCAGCAGUGGGGAAUAUUGCACAAUGGGCGGAAGCCUGAUGCAGCAACGCCGCGUGCGGGAUGACGGCCUUCGGGUUGUAAACCGCUUUCGCCUGUGACGAAGCGUGAGUGACGGUAAUGGGUAAAGAAGCACCGGCUAACUACGCG